This 276-nucleotide ribosomal RNA is filed under the name Leuconostoc sp. YA29. Its description in RNAcentral is "partial 16S rRNA". It matches the Rfam family "Bacterial small subunit ribosomal RNA", at positions 1105 to 1382 of the family's 1533-position model. Lineage: Bacteria; Bacillati; Bacillota; Bacilli; Lactobacillales; Lactobacillaceae. The record is from RNAcentral.
UUAUUGUUAGUUGCCAGCAUUCAGUUGGGCACUCUAGCGAGACUGCCGGUGACAAACCGGAGGAAGGCGGGGACGACGUCAGAUCAUCAUGCCCCUUAUGACCUGGGCUACACACGUGCUACAAUGGCGUAUACAACGAGUUGCCAACCUGCGAAGGUGAGCUAAUCUCUUAAAGUACGUCUCAGUUCGGACUGCAGUCUGCAACUCGACUGCACGAAGUCGGAAUCGCUAGUAAUCGCGGAUCAGCACGCCGCGGUGAAUACGUUCCCGGGUCUU